UGAAGGCAGGGUAAAGUGACUAGGCAUCAGGAUAGAUAGUAACAAGGUAUUUGAGGUAGAUAUGAACAUGAAGGCAGGGUAAAGUGACUAGGCAUCAGGAUAGAUAAUAAUAAGGUAUUUGAGGUAGAUAUGAACAUGAAGGCAGGGUAAAGUGACUAGGCAUCAGGAUAGAUAGUAAUAACAGUAAAAUAAAGAACAGAGUAGCAGCAGCAUAUGAUGAGUGUUAAAGAGUGUGUCAGUUUGCGUGUGUUAUGUCUGUGUGUGUGUAUAGUGUAUGUGAAUGUGUAUAGGAUCAGUGCAAGAUAGAGUCGUUGCAGAUUGUUUGGAUACCAUUAAUUGACUAUUUAGCAGUCUGGCUAUUCUUUCUUUUGCUAUUCCCGAUGCUGUGGUGUUUUGGUUGUUUCCAGUGAUGCUAUUAGUAUAUCAGAGGUUGCACUGAGUUGCUUGUUGUUUUUCCUU
This 459-nucleotide long non-coding RNA is filed under the name Salmo salar (Atlantic salmon). RNAcentral describes it as "lncRNA (ENSSSAG00000100663.1)". The record is from RNAcentral. Lineage: Eukaryota; Metazoa; Chordata; Actinopteri; Salmoniformes; Salmonidae.